AGCAGCCGCGGUAAUUCCAGCUCCAAUAGCGUAUAUUAAAGUUGUUGCAGUUAAAAAGCUCGUAGUUGAACUUCAGGCCUGGCUGGACGGUCCGCCCUCUGGGUGAGCACUGUCUGUGGUCGGGUCCUACCUUCUGGCGAAGCGGCAUGGCCUUAACCGGCCGUGGCGGGGAACCAGGACUUUUACUGUGAAAAAAUUAGAGUGUUCAAAGCAGGCACGCGCUUGAAUACAUUAGCAUGGAAUAAUGGAAUAGGACAAUGGUUCUAUUUGUUGGUUUCUAGGACCGUUGUAAUGAUUAAUAGGGAUAGUUGGGGGCAUUAGUAUUCAAUUGUCAGAGGUGAAAUUCUUGGAUUUAUUGAAGACUAACUACUGCGAAAGCAUUUGCCAAGGAUGUUUUCAUUAAUCAAGAACGAAAGUUAGGGAUCGAAGACGAUCAGAUACCGUCGUAGUCUUAACCAUAAACUAUAGCCGACUAGGGAUCGGAUGAUGUUAAUUUUUAAUGUAUUCAUUCGGCGUCCUU
RNAcentral lists this ribosomal RNA (520 nucleotides) under uncultured Paraglomus. Its description in RNAcentral is "bacterial SSU rRNA". It matches the Rfam family "Eukaryotic small subunit ribosomal RNA", at positions 569 to 1090 of the family's 1831-position model. The record is from RNAcentral. Lineage: Eukaryota; Fungi; Glomeromycota; Glomeromycetes; Paraglomerales; Paraglomeraceae.